UACGUAGGGGGCAAGCGUUGUCCGGAAUCAUUGGGCGUAAAGAGCGCGUAGGCGGCCAGAUAAGUCCGGUGUGAAAGUCACAGGCUCAACCUGUGAAUGCCGCUGGAAACUGUCUGGCUAGAGUCCGGAAGGGGCGAGUGGAAUUCCUGGUGUAGCGGUGAGAUGCGCAGAUAUCAGGAAGAACACCCGUGGCGAAGGCGGUUCUCUGGGACGGUACUGACGCUGAGACGCGAAAGCGUGGGGAGCGAACAGG
This 253-nucleotide ribosomal RNA is filed under the name uncultured bacterium. Its description in RNAcentral is "partial 16S ribosomal RNA". It matches the Rfam family "Bacterial small subunit ribosomal RNA", at positions 524 to 776 of the family's 1533-position model. The record is from RNAcentral.